UUCAAGGCAAGGGGAACAAAAUUAAUAAUUCUCCAAACAGGAACCUUGAUACACCCAGCAUAAAAAGUCUUGAGAAAUCAUUGACCUUUGGGAUUGGAUCAAAAGUCAACAUGGUCACCAAGCAAAGCGGCUUUGUUUCCUCUCCCCAGGUUGUUAACUAAGUCAGAUACCUGAUCCUACACACAGCCUAUCCGAGCCAGGGCCAAGCCAUCUGUCAAUUUGUUUCAGCUACACGACGAGAAGUAAUUUUUAAGGGAUCACACACUAAGAAUCAGGACAUAAACCCCUGUUUGUUCCCUCUAAGGGAUGUGUGUCCAAGUGUGGACUCAAAUCCACAUGCAGCUUUCAUCUGGGCCAGAGGGGCACAUAAGCAGGGUCCCUGCUGGCCAGGCCAUGGAGACACAGAGCCGGGGGUCUAGAUGCCCCUGCUUCUGCUGCAAAGAAGUGGGCAAAGCUUCUGGUCUGGACGCGCAACUCCAGAGUGAUUUGCAACGCCAGGCCCAGGAAGAAACGGAAUAUGGGAAUGUAAGCACAGACUGCACAAGGGCCUCAUCAAUAAAAGACGGCUUGGAA
This is a long non-coding RNA of Pan troglodytes (chimpanzee), 573 nucleotides long. RefSeq lists it as uncharacterized. Lineage: Eukaryota; Metazoa; Chordata; Mammalia; Primates; Hominidae. The transcript is spliced from 3 exons. The record is from RefSeq and is a predicted model, not a curated record.